This 400-nucleotide ribosomal RNA is filed under the name phytoplankton environmental sample. RNAcentral's name for it is "partial small subunit ribosomal RNA". It matches the Rfam family "Eukaryotic small subunit ribosomal RNA", at positions 587 to 977 of the family's 1831-position model. The record is from RNAcentral.
AGCUCUUUUAGCGUAUAUUAAUUCUGUUGCAGUUGAAAGGCUCGUAGUUGAGAGAAAAGAGUAGAGGAAGAUAAACAGUAGUCGAGAAGAUUAUUGUUUGUAUUCUUUACUGUUUAAAUUAACGAGUAGUAAUUUACUACUCUUUAAACGAUGAAAAAAUUAGAGUGUUCAAAACAGGGAAAAAAAAACUAAGGUUACCUAUUGAAUAUUGUUUCAUUGGAUUUUUGAAUAAGGCCAUUCACGCAUGGUUUUUGAUAGUUCUUUAAGCAAAGCGUAAAGUAGUGGCAAUGAUAAAGAAAAGCCAUUGGUGUCCUUUGUACUCUGCAGUAAGAAGUGAAAUUUAGUGAUUUGCAGAUGACAAACAAAUGCGAAAGCAUUGGACAAGAGGGUGUUUAUUAAU